Molecule: ribosomal RNA, 467 nt
Filed under: uncultured bacterium
Lineage: Bacteria
Description: partial 16S ribosomal RNA
Rfam family: Bacterial small subunit ribosomal RNA
Source: RNAcentral
GACGAACGCUGGCGGCGUGCUUAACACAUGCAAGUCGAACGGAAAGGCCCUGCUUUUGUGGGGUGCUCGAGUGGCGAACGGGUGAGUAACACGUGAGUAACCUGCCCUUGACUUUGGGAUAACUUCAGGAAACUGGGGCUAAUACCGGAUAGGAGCUCCUGCUGCAUGGUGGGGGUUGGAAAGUUUCGGCGGUUGGGGAUGGACUCGCGGCUUAUCAGCUUGUUGGUGGGGUAGUGGCUUACCAAGGCUUUGACGGGUAGCCGGCCUGAGAGGGUGACCGGCCACAUUGGGACUGAGAUACGGCCCAGACUCCUACGGGAGGCAGCAGUGGGGAAUAUUGCACAAUGGGCGGAAGCCUGAUGCAGCAAGGCCGCGUGCGGGAUGACGGCCUUCGGGUGGUAAACCGCUUUCGCCUGUGACGAAGCGUGAGUGACGGUAAUGGGGAAAGAAGCACCGGCUAACUACGU